RNAcentral lists this ribosomal RNA (431 nucleotides) under uncultured bacterium. Its description in RNAcentral is "partial 16S ribosomal RNA". It matches the Rfam family "Bacterial small subunit ribosomal RNA", at positions 30 to 507 of the family's 1533-position model. The record is from RNAcentral.
CGAACGCUGGCGGCAUGCCUAACACAUGCAAAUCGAACGAGACCUUCGGGUCUAGUGGCGCACGGGUGCGUAACGCGUGGGAACCUGCCCUUAGGUUCGGAAUAACUCCCCGAAAGGGGUGCUAAUACCGGAUAAUGUCUUCGGACCAAAGAUUUAUCGCCUUUGGAUGGGCCCGCGUUGGAUUAGCUAGUUGGUAGGGUAAAAGCCUACCAAGGCGACGAUCCAUAGCUGGUCUGAGAGGAUGAUCAGCCACACUGGGACUGAGACACGGCCCAGACUCCUACGGGAGGCAGCAGUGGGGAAUAUUGGACAAUGGGCGAAAGCCUGAUCCAGCAAUGCCGCGUGAGUGAUGAAGGCCUUAGGGUUGUAAAGCUCUUUUACCCGGGAUGAUAAUGACGGUACCGGGAGAAUAAGCUCCGGCUAACUCCGUG